Molecule: non-coding RNA, 73 nt
Organism: Stegodyphus mimosarum
Lineage: Eukaryota; Metazoa; Arthropoda; Arachnida; Araneae; Eresidae
Source: Rfam
GCCUUCGUUGUGUAAUGGUCAGCACACUCGACGCAUAUUCGAGAGGUCCGUGGUUCGAGUCUCGGCAAGGGCA